Molecule: long non-coding RNA, 258 nt
Filed under: Elaeis guineensis (African oil palm)
Lineage: Eukaryota; Viridiplantae; Streptophyta; Magnoliopsida; Arecales; Arecaceae
Description: long non-coding RNA (EGUI_LNC025148)
Source: RNAcentral
UAUGCAUCGUAGAUCAGUCACAUGUACAUUUCAAACUUCUUUUCUCCACCACAUAAUGUUCACAUGCUUCAACCCUCUUUAGCGCUCAUUAGUUUGGCCUUUUACGGUUCUAGAACAUCUUUCCUUAAGUUGGUCAGCAUCAGUACUUUGUAUAUUUAAAAAGUAUUUGGUGAGCUUUCUUUACAUAAUGCUCAUCCAUCAAGCUUUGCUCUAUGUGGGAGCCCUACUAGCAGCAUCGCUAACGAUAGUAGGUGUCCC